UACGGGGGGAGCAAGCGUUGUUCGGAUUUACUGGGCGUAAAGGGCGCGUAGGCGGCCACCGCAAGUCAGUUGUGAAAUCUCCGGGCUUAACCCGGAAAGGUCAACUGAUACUGCGGGGCUAGAGUGCAGAAGGGGCAACUGGAAUUCUCGGUGUAGCGGUGAAAUGCGUAGAUAUCGAGAGGAACACCUGCGGCGAAGGCGGGUUGCUGGGCUGACACUGACGCUGAAGUGCGAAAGCUAGGGGAGCGAA
This 250-nucleotide ribosomal RNA is filed under the name uncultured bacterium. RNAcentral describes it as "partial 16S ribosomal RNA". It matches the Rfam family "Bacterial small subunit ribosomal RNA", at positions 524 to 772 of the family's 1533-position model. The record is from RNAcentral.